RNAcentral lists this ribosomal RNA (447 nucleotides) under uncultured bacterium. Its description in RNAcentral is "bacterial SSU rRNA". It matches the Rfam family "Bacterial small subunit ribosomal RNA", at positions 329 to 793 of the family's 1533-position model. The record is from RNAcentral.
GUCCAGACUCCUACGGGAGGCAGCAGUGGGGAAUAUUGCACAAUGGGGGGAACCCUGAUGCAGCGACGCCGCGUGGGUGAAGGAGUACUUCGGUACGUAAAGCCCUAUCAGCAGGAAAGAAAAUGACGGUACCUGACUAAGAAGCCCCGGCUAACUACGUGCCAGCAGCCGCGGUAAUACGUAGGGGGCAAGCGUUAUCCGGAUUUACUGGGUGUAAAGGGAGCGUAGACGGCCAUGCAAGCCUGGAGUGAAAGCCCGGGGCCCAACCCCGGGACUGCUCUGGGAACUGUGCGGCUGGAGUGCGGGAGGGGCAGGCGGAAUUCCUGGUGUAGCGGUGAAAUGCGUAGAUAUCAGGAGGAACACCGGCGGGGAAGGCGGCCUGCUGGACCGCGACUGACGUUGAGGCUCGAAGGCGUGGGGAGCAAACAGGAUUAGAUACCCUAGUAA